RNAcentral lists this ribosomal RNA (468 nucleotides) under uncultured bacterium. RNAcentral describes it as "partial 16S ribosomal RNA". It matches the Rfam family "Bacterial small subunit ribosomal RNA", at positions 28 to 507 of the family's 1533-position model. The record is from RNAcentral.
GACGAACGCUGGCGGCGUGCUUAACACAUGCAAGUCGAACGGAAAGGCCCUGCUUUUGUGGGGUGCUCGAUUGGCGAACGGGUGAGUAACACGUGAGUAACCUGCCCUUGACUUUGGGAUAACUUCAGGAAACUGGGGCUAAUACCGGAUAGGAGCUCCUGCUGCAUGGUGGGGGUUGGAAAGUUUCGGCGGUUGGGGAUGGACUCGCGGGUUAUCAGCUUGUUGGUGGGGUAGUGGCUUACCAAGGCUUUGACGGGUAGCCGGCAUGAGAGGGUGACCGGCGACAUUGGGACUGAGAGACGGCGCAGACUCCUACGGGAGGCAGCAGUGGGGAAUAUUGCACAAUGGGCGGAAGCCUGAUGCAGCAACGCCGCGUGCGGGAUGACGGCCUUCGGGUUGUAAACCGAUUUCGCCUGUGACGAAGCGUGAGUGACGGUAAUGGGUAAAGAAGCACCGGCUAACUACGUG